GUGGGAAUGGCUCAGUGACAGAUCGCAUGCUUAGCAUGCACGAGGUCCUGGGUUCAAUCCCCAGUACCUCCA
Molecule: transfer RNA, 72 nt
Filed under: Camelus bactrianus (Bactrian camel)
Lineage: Eukaryota; Metazoa; Chordata; Mammalia; Artiodactyla; Camelidae
Also listed under: 1 other name
Rfam family: tRNA
About the family: Transfer RNA (tRNA) molecules are approximately 80 nucleotides in length. Their secondary structure includes four short double-helical elements and three loops (D, anti-codon, and T loops). Further hydrogen bonds mediate the characteristic L-shaped molecular structure. tRNAs have two regions of fundamental functional importance: the anti-codon, which is responsible for specific mRNA codon recognition, and the 3' end, to which the tRNAs corresponding amino acid is attached (by aminoacyl-tRNA synthetases). tRNAs cope with the degeneracy of the genetic code in two manners: having more than one tRNA (with a specific anti-codon) for a particular amino acid; and 'wobble' base-pairing, i.e. permitting non-standard base-pairing at the 3rd anti-codon position.
Source: Rfam by way of RNAcentral